ACUAAAACAAGUUGGGUUUGUGGGGCCGCCCAUCAGUGAUUUCCGGGUUAUGCUGUGGUCAGCGGAGCACAAGUUCCCAAGCUGAGAUUUCUGGACCCACCAAGAGCUUCAGCCAGGCAGAACCCUUCGAAAUUACACACUGAGGUUUAGCACCCACGAAGUACCAUCCCUCUGCAACAGCACUGAAAGGAAUAGGGCUGUUCCAGAGGCGCUGAGCUUGCUGCACAACACUGAGGAGUCUGCGAGCAGAGUCCACAGAGACAUGGUCUGCGUGCACCACAACUAGAGCUAUGGAACAGCAACAUGGCUCUUUGUCACAGCUUUGGUGUCUGCACUAUGGACGGAUUCAGUGUCUGGGAUGGAAAACCACGAGCAGCCCUAGAGGAGGCCACUAGAACUAACUGGAACCUGGUGUCUGAAUGUCAGCAAGAAUUGAUGGCUGUGGUCGUGCCGUUACCAACGAGGAGCUGGUGUCCGUUGCCCGCAUGUGCAAAUGCUUCUGACUCCCACCUGCUGAAGAAAGUCUUCCGCUGACUACCUGGAGUCUUUGCUCUGGAAUGCCUGGUACACGGCCUCCCAGUGCGUGACCAUGAAAAAGGUCGCAAUGGAAAUGAAGGCUAAAAAUCUUUCUAGGAGUUCUUGUUGAGAGCCAAGACUUGCAAGGGCUUUUUUCUACUCGGUCAUUUCCCCACAGCCUAAACGGAAUUGCUAAGAAUAUGCAUGCCUUUCGUAACAAUUGCUCACAUUUAUUGCAAGCUUACUAUGUGUCUGGCACUGCUCUAAGCAUUGCACAUUGACUCACCAAUCCCAAGAGGUAGUUGCUAUUUUUCCAUUUUUAUUGAUGAAACACUGCACACAGAGCAGUUAAGCAACUUGUCUGAGGUCAUCCAGCUAAAAGUGACAGAGCCAGGAAAUGGAUCCAGAAAACUUGGCUCCAGCAUCCAUGCUCUUAACCAUUACGCUACACUAUAUUGAGAAAUAGAGACACCUGGAGCACCUGGGUGGCUCAGUCGGUUAAGCAUCCGACUCUUGAUUUUGGCUCAGGUCAUGA
Zalophus californianus (California sea lion) is the source of this 1051-nucleotide long non-coding RNA. RefSeq lists it as uncharacterized. The transcript is spliced from 3 exons. The record is from RefSeq and is a predicted model, not a curated record. Lineage: Eukaryota; Metazoa; Chordata; Mammalia; Carnivora; Otariidae.